This 253-nucleotide ribosomal RNA is filed under the name uncultured bacterium. RNAcentral's name for it is "partial 16S ribosomal RNA". It matches the Rfam family "Bacterial small subunit ribosomal RNA", at positions 524 to 776 of the family's 1533-position model. The record is from RNAcentral.
UACGUAGGGCGCAAGCGUUGUCCGGAAUUAUUGGGCGUAAAGAGCUCGUAGGCGGCCUGUCGCGUCUGCUGUGAAAUUUCGGGGCUCAACCCCGAACUUGCAGUGGAUACGGGCAGACUAGAGUGUGGUAGGGGAGACUGGAAUUCCUGGUGUAGCGGUGAAAUGCGCAGAUAUCAGGAGGAACACCGAUGGCGAAGGCAGGUCUCUGGGCCAUAACUGACGCUGAGAAGCGAAAGCAUGGGGAGCGAACAGG